This 402-nucleotide unclassified non-coding RNA is filed under the name soil metagenome. RNAcentral's name for it is "partial contains 5.8S ribosomal RNA, internal transcribed spacer 2, and large subunit ribosomal RNA". The stretch from base 1 to 120 matches the Rfam family "5.8S ribosomal RNA", at positions 35 to 154 of the family's 154-position model. The record is from RNAcentral.
GAUGAAGAACGUAGUGAAAUGCGAUAAGUAAUGUGAAUUGCAGAAUUCAGUGAAUCAUCGAAUCUUUGAACGCACCUUGCGCCCUUUGGCAUUCCGAAGGGCAUGCCUGUUUGAGUAUCAUGAACACCUCAACUCUUCAUGGUUUUCCAUGAUGAGCUUGGACUUUGGGGGUCUUGCUGGCCUGCGGUCGGCUCCUCUCAAAUGAAUCAGCUUACCAGUGUUUGGUGGGCAUCACAGGUGUGAUAACUAUCUGCGCUUGUGGUUUUCCACCAAGUAACCUUCAGCAGUGGAGGUUCACUGGAGCUCACAGACGUCUCUCCUCAGUGAGGACAGCCCUUUGAAUGUUUGAUCUCAAAUCAGGUAGGACUACCCGCUGAACUUAAGCAUAUCAAUAAGCGAGGA